RNAcentral lists this ribosomal RNA (814 nucleotides) under uncultured bacterium. RNAcentral describes it as "bacterial SSU rRNA". It matches the Rfam family "Bacterial small subunit ribosomal RNA", at positions 56 to 868 of the family's 1533-position model. The record is from RNAcentral.
UGCAAGUCGAACGGUAACAGGUCUUCGGAUGCUGACGAGUGGCGAACGGGUGAGUAAUACAUCGGAACGUGCCCGAUCGUGGGGGAUAACGCAGCGAAAGCUGUGCUAAUACCGCAUACGAUCUACGGAUGAAAGCGGGGGAUCGCAAGACCUCGCGCGGACGGAGCGGCCGAUGGCAGAUUAGGUAGUUGGUGGGGUAAAGGCUCACCAAGCCUUCGAUCUGUAGCUGGUCUGAGAGGACGACCAGCCACACUGGGACUGAGACACGGCCCAGACUCCUACGGGAGGCAGCAGUGGGGAAUUUUGGACAAUGGGCGCAAGCCUGAUCCAGCCAUGCCGCGUGCAGGAUGAAGGCCUUCGGGUUGUAAACUGCUUUUGUACGGAACGAAAAGGUCUUUUUUAAUAAAGAGGGCCCAUGACGGUACCGUAAGAAUAAGCACCGGCUAACUACGUGCCAGCAGCCGCGGUAAUACGUAGGGUGCAAGCGUUAAUCGGAAUUACUGGGCGUAAAGCGUGCGCAGGCGGUAAUGUAAGACUGUCGUGAAAUCCCCGGGCUCAACCUGGGAAUGGCGAUGGUGACUGCAAGGCUAGAGUUUGGCAGAGGGGGGUAGAAUUCCACGUGUAGCAGUGAAAUGCGUAGAUAUGUGGAGGAACACCGAUGGCGAAGGCAGCCCCCUGGGUCAAAACUGACGCUCAUGCACGAAAGCGUGGGGAGCAAACAGGAUUAGAUACCCUGGUAGUCCACGCCCUAAACGAUGUCUACUAGUUGUCGGGUCUUAAUUGACUUGGUAACGCAGCUAACGCGUGAAGUAGA